GGGGAAUUAGCUCAAAUGGUAGAGCGCCCGCUUUGCAUGCGGGAGGUACCGGGAUCGAUGCCCAGAUUCUCCA
This 73-nucleotide transfer RNA is filed under the name Stylophora pistillata. RNAcentral describes it as "tRNA-Ala". It matches the Rfam family "tRNA". From Rfam's summary of the family: Transfer RNA (tRNA) molecules are approximately 80 nucleotides in length. Their secondary structure includes four short double-helical elements and three loops (D, anti-codon, and T loops). The record is from Rfam by way of RNAcentral. Lineage: Eukaryota; Metazoa; Cnidaria; Anthozoa; Scleractinia; Pocilloporidae.